This 395-nucleotide ribosomal RNA is filed under the name uncultured bacterium. Its description in RNAcentral is "partial 16S ribosomal RNA". It matches the Rfam family "Bacterial small subunit ribosomal RNA", at positions 523 to 916 of the family's 1533-position model. The record is from RNAcentral.
CUACGUAGGGGGCGAGCGUUGUCCGGAAUGAUUGGGCGUAAAGGGCGCGUAGGCGGCUUUGCAAGUCAGUAGUGGAAGUCCAUUUUUCAAGGAUGGAAGUGCUACAGAAACUGCGGAGCUUGAGUGCAGGAGAGGUUAUCGGAAUUCCCGGUGUAGCGGUGAAAUGCGUAGAGAUCGGGAGGAACACCAGUGGCGAAGGCGGGUAACGGGAAUGCAACUGACGCUGAGGCGCGAAAGUGUGGGGAGCAAACAGGAUUAGAUACCCUGGUGGUCCAUGCCGUAAACGGUGGGCGCUAGGUGUAGGGGUCUUCCACGACUUCUGUGCCGUAGCUAACGCAUUAAGCGCCCCGCCUGGGGAGUACGGCCGCAAGGCUAAAACUCAAAUGAAUUGGCGG